Molecule: ribosomal RNA, 382 nt
Filed under: uncultured eukaryote
Lineage: Eukaryota
Description: partial 18S ribosomal RNA
Rfam family: Eukaryotic small subunit ribosomal RNA
Source: RNAcentral
CAAUAGCGUAUAUUAAAGUUGUUGCAGUUAAAACGCUCGUAGUCGGAAUUUGGCAGUUCCGGAUGUGUGCACGUCGUGUGCGCACUUCGCGGGGAUUGCUUUUGUGGUCUUGCGUAGGAUGAGGCACUUUUAUUAGUGAACGUCCUCACGCAACCACUUUUUACUGUGAGAAAAUCAGAGUGCUCAAAGCAGGCAUUUGCCGUGAAUGUAUUAGCAUGGAAUAAUAGAAUAGGACUUGGUUCUAUUUUGUUGGUUUGUUGGGACUGAGUAAUGAUUAAGAGGGACAGUUGGGGGCAUUUGUAUUUCGGUGCUAGAGGUGAAAUUCUUAGAUUACCGAAAGACAAACUGCUGCGAAAGCGUCUGCCAAGGAUGUUUUCAUUGA